RNAcentral lists this long non-coding RNA (938 nucleotides) under Mus musculus (house mouse). Its description in RNAcentral is "predicted gene, 50284". Lineage: Eukaryota; Metazoa; Chordata; Mammalia; Rodentia; Muridae. The record is from RNAcentral.
AUGUCCUCUUGGGCCAUGUUGAGCACUGCUGAUAAUACGUUGAAUUGUGUCCUUUCCUCUGUCCUCCGAUUACUGUCUACCCUCCAGGUUUUCGACACUCCACCUACCCAGCGACAGGAGAGAAGGACUAGUUGUCUUCCCAGUUUUGAUCCUCAAAGACCUCCAGAAGCAGCCAAAUAUCAAGUUGGUGAAAUUCCAGGUGAACGAGAGGACAGGACUCAGCCCAUCUGUGCCACCUCCUGGCUGUGUAGCUUGGAGCACAGUCCAAUCUCCCAUCUGUAAAGGGGGGGUAAUGACCCAGUAUUGCACAUUCAGCAAUUGGAGAAAACUCUUCUUCAUUAGUCAGAAGUUGCUAGAGACUAUUAGAGGUUAAUGAAUGUCUAUCUGUCCCUCCCAUAUUCGUAUGUUGAAUAUUGGCAUGUCAAGCAAUCCCUGUGUCAGGGAGGGGUUCAGAGAUGGCCAAGCAGAGAGAUUAGGCCACGGAGGUGGAGCCCUCGGGAAUGUGAUCAGUGCCUUAGAGAAGAGACGCCAGGAGCUGGGAAGACGUGGAUGUCAGUGAAAUGAUCACAGUGUGCAGGUCCGAGCUCAAUCACCACAAAAAAACGACAGGCGUGGAGACAAACACAGGCAUUCCCAAUGCAGGGAAGGCAGAGGCAACAGGGUUUCUGGGCUUUGCUGGUCAGCCAGUGUAGUCAAACCAGUGAGCUGAAAGUUCAGUGGUAGACUCCAUUUUAAAAAGUGACAUGGGGCCAGGCUGUGGUGGCUCACGCCUUUAAUCCUGGAAUAAGGGAGGCAGAGGCAGGUGGAUCUCUAUAAGUUUAAGGCUAGACUGGUCUACAGAGGGAGUUUCAGGGCAGCCAGUGCUGUUACUCAGAGAAACCAUAUCUUGAAAACACAAACAAACAAGCAAACAAACAAACCCAAUAACCAAAAAAAAG